CCGCAAGCUAGCAAAGUUUGGGGCACGAACUUUAUCAAGCUUACGGUAGUGUGACACAUUUCAGCAUGGGUUGCUUUGAAGGUUGC
Long non-coding RNA from Protopterus annectens (West African lungfish), 86 nucleotides. RefSeq lists it as uncharacterized. The transcript is spliced from 3 exons. The record is from RefSeq and is a predicted model, not a curated record. NCBI's taxonomy places the organism in Eukaryota, Metazoa, Chordata, Ceratodontiformes, Protopteridae.